GGGGAGAGGUAGGGUUGUGGACUGCCUUUUGUUCCACAGGGGUCUUGGAGGGUCUUAGGGGUCUUAAUGUCCCUGGGGGAUAUAAAAACUGAGAUCUGGACCCACAGACUUUAGGAGGCUGCAGAGAGACGACAGACGCAGACUUCAGAAAUCACAUUUCUUUUCCAAGCGAACUUUAUUUCUCUCAAUGACCCGUAGGGCGAUUACAGUCACGGCUCCCGUGGGGAGCAGAGGUUCAGUGAUGUAGCGACAGCCUGGUCACCAAAUCAGCAUUAUUAAGACAACUGGGUUAGAUAAAUAUCUUGUUUUAAACAUAAGCAAAAGAAAAGGGGGAGGCAACGAGGCGGGGGUGGGGGACCAGAUGGGGAUAGCUGGUAGUUUAGCUCCGUUUUCACAGAAAACAUGUUGGCCUGAAGACAGCUUCCCAACGCUGGGUCCUCCAGGACGCCCCGGCCUUCCAAAUAAAUACAUUCAUAAGCAAAUAAAUAAAUAAUAAAUAAUAAAUAAAUAGUCACAGGUGCAAUUAUAAAUAUAGGGGGUUCCGUAAGGAAGGCUGGGCGCUGUGCCUCAGGGAACAGUCUGGGAAGCUCUGAGGGAGGGAAGGAAGGAAGGAAGGGAGGCCUGAGACAUCUUCAGCAGCCUUGUGAGCCAGAGACAGCCUGAUCCACUCCCCCCUCCACUCCCCCGAUCCACUCAGGCAUCGACAUUCGGGGAUCCAGUGAGUUCCGAAAGCCCAUUGGAAUCCUUGCCGGUGGCGGCUCAUGAGCAGCCCGCAAUCCAGGCCACUACUUCAGCAUCUCGUGUGUUUCUGAGCAUCGUAGUUGUUGGAAAUUCUGAGCCCGGAGUUGGACCCUGAGCCACAAUUCCCUUUCUAAGUUAGAAGGACACAGAUUGGGGGCUCUGAGGAGUAGACGAUAAAGGGGUCAGAGUAAUGGGGGUCAGAGUCGGGGACAGGGGCUGGGUAGAGAACGGAUGAACACGCCAGU
This 986-nucleotide non-coding RNA is filed under the name Rattus norvegicus (Norway rat). The record is from RNAcentral. Lineage: Eukaryota; Metazoa; Chordata; Mammalia; Rodentia; Muridae.